RNAcentral lists this non-coding RNA (27 nucleotides) under Mus musculus (house mouse). Lineage: Eukaryota; Metazoa; Chordata; Mammalia; Rodentia; Muridae. The record is from RNAcentral.
UAAAUAGCCUGGACCAUAGUCAUGCCC